GAGCGCUUUCUGAAGUUACAGGCCCUAGUACUUAUACAGACACACACACACACAGUGAGUGUAACUACUUUGGACUUUAUGUUUCUGUUCCCUGAUUUGGAUCAACACAGGGAGAGACUGGAGCGCACUGAAUGAGUCCAAGAUCAUCAGAGCACAAUCAGGAGGUCCCUGGAGGAAGAGGAACCCACUUCAGAAUAAAUGACGCCCCCAGAGAAGAGGCCACCUAGUUUUUACCACAAAAUAAAUGAAAUGUGUCUCAAACAGGCCUGAAACAUGAAUUCCCUUUGUGUGUAAGACAAAAACAGUUUCUGCAAAAAGACAUACAGGCAGGCAGGCAGGUAAACACUGCAUGAUUGGAUCUGUGAAUACCGGUGUGAGUGGGAGAGAGACGCGUUCGGUCUCUAGAUGAGAUGGUCACAUGCAACCACGUCUGCCUGCCCCCUCUCUCUGACUGGCCGCUCUGCUCAGUUCUGCAGCAGCAGAUACAUGUUGAUGAGCGAUGAUCCAACCCUGCUAUGUGGGCGUGUGAGGAGUUUGGCAGAGGAGGGAGAUGUGGGGGCCUGAGCAUCACCCCUCCCUCCCCCUCAUGGCCUUUAGUGAGUUUGAGCACUUUCUGAAGGUCUACAGAUGAAGUCACGACUCACGCUGUCUGCUGUUCCACACCGCUCACCUGGUGGUGCGAAGUCAAUUGAAGCACUACGCGGAAGAUGAUGAAGUGUUUGUUUGCCC
Long non-coding RNA from Alosa sapidissima (American shad), 729 nucleotides. RefSeq lists it as uncharacterized. Lineage: Eukaryota; Metazoa; Chordata; Actinopteri; Clupeiformes; Clupeidae. The transcript has 4 exons. The record is from RefSeq and is a predicted model, not a curated record.